UCAGACAUCGUGUAAUGGGAGCACAGCCUCUUGUUCUAGGCAGCGUCGAGCAAGAAUUGAGAGGCAGUCCAGGGUUCAACUCCCUGUGUCUGAA
Molecule: non-coding RNA, 94 nt
Organism: Mycena vulgaris
Lineage: Eukaryota; Fungi; Basidiomycota; Agaricomycetes; Agaricales; Mycenaceae
Source: the annotation of a GenBank genome assembly